AUAAAUAAAAUCUAAAGUCCACAAAUAAAACCCCAAGACCCAAAGUCAACAAAUAAAACCAAAAAAUGCAAAGUUCACAAAUAAAACCCAAAACCUAAAGUCCACAAAUGAAACCUACGACCGCAAAGUCGUUAAACUAAACAACCAAAUCCAAACGACUGUAAAGUCGUUAAACUAAAUAAUCAAAUCAAACGACUGCAAAGUCGCUAAACUAAACAACCAAACCCAAACGACCAUCAAGUCGUUAAACUGAAUAUCUGACCAUCAAGUCGUUAAACUGAAUUCAAAUUCAAAUGACCAUCAAGUCGUUAAACUGAAUUCAAAUUCAAAUGACUAUCAAGUUGUUAAACUGAACAUAUGACCAUCAAGUCAUUAAACUGAAUUCAAAUUCAAAUGACCAUUAAGUUGUUAAAUUGAACAUAUGACCAUCAAGUCGUCAAACUAAAUUCAAAUUCAAAUAACCAUCAAAUCGUUAAACUGAAUUCAAAUUCAAUGACCAUCAAGUCAUUAAACUGAAUUCAAAUUCAAUGACCAUCAAGUCGUUAAACUGACUAUAUGACCAUCAAGUCAUUAAACUAAAUUCAAAUUCAAAUGACCAUCAAGUUUUUAAACUGAAUAUAUGACCAUCAAGUCGUCAAACUGAAUUCAAAUUCAAAUGACCAUUAAGUCGUUAAACUGAAUUCAAAUUCAAAUGACCAUCAAGUCGUUAAAAUGAACAUAUAACCAUCAAGUCGUUAAACCAAAUUCAAAUUCAAAUGACCAUCAAGUCGUUAAACUGAAUAUAUGACCAUCAAGUUGUUAAACUAAAUUCAAAUUCAUAUGACCACGAAGUUGUUAAACUGAAUUCAAAUUCGAAUGACCAUCAAGUCGUUAAACUGAAUAAUUGACCGCCAAAUUGUUAAACUGAGCAAGCCAACAUCAAGUUCUACUUCAUCCGACCGCCAAGUCGUUAAGCAAGCCAACAUCAAGUUCUACUUCAUCCGACCGCCAAGUCGUUAAACUGAGAAACUUAACUCAAAUCAACUGCCAUAUCCUUAAACCGAGCACCUGAAAACCUCAACUUCAAACUGAUCGCCUUGUCGUUAAACUGAGCAACUCAACUUCAAGCCGGCCACCAUGUCGCUAAACUGAGCAUCUCAACUUCAAUAGACUGCCAAGUUGCUAAACUGAGCAAAUCAAGUUCAGAUAUGAUCGUCAAGUUGUUAAACUGAACAUUUUACUAUCAAGUCGUUAAACUGAACAACGACCAUCAAGUCGUUAAACUAAACAAUGACCAUCAAGUCGUUAAACUGAGCUGUUAGCCGCCAAAUCAUUAAACUGAGUCGAGCAAACCAAAUUCAAAUUCAAAUUGACCAUCAAGUCGUUAAACUGAGCAAAUUAAAUUUAAAUUCAAAUUGACCGCCAAGUCGUUAAACUGAGCAAAUCAAAUUUAAAUUCAAAUUGACCGCCAAAUCGUUAGACUAGACAAACCAAAUUCAAAUUCAAUUGACCGCCAAAUCGCUAAAUUGGGCAAACCAAAUUUAAAUUCAAAUUGACCGCCAAGUCGUUAAACUAGACAAACCAAAUUCAAAUUCAAAUUGACCGCCAAAUCGUUAAACUGAGCAAACCAAAUUUAAAUUCAAAUUGACUGCAUGCCAAGUCGUUAAACUGAGCAAACCAAUUGCAAACUCUUCUCAACUGCCAGGUCAUCAAAUUGAGCAAAUUAUUUCAAA
Molecule: long non-coding RNA, 1712 nt
Filed under: Ananas comosus (pineapple)
Lineage: Eukaryota; Viridiplantae; Streptophyta; Magnoliopsida; Poales; Bromeliaceae
Description: long non-coding RNA (ACOM_LNC033498)
Source: RNAcentral